Molecule: long non-coding RNA, 8238 nt
Filed under: Setaria viridis
Lineage: Eukaryota; Viridiplantae; Streptophyta; Magnoliopsida; Poales; Poaceae
Description: long non-coding RNA (SVIR_LNC003568)
Source: RNAcentral
GAGAGCAAUCUGAUCACGAGAGCGCACAGGACACAUGCCAGCCAUUUCUCCACAGCAAGACUAAGAAUCAUUCAUCAAUCAGCCUGUCAAUCUUGCAGUCGACAAUGACGGUGAUGAGAUGACGGUGAUGGUGCGCCAUGAACACCUGUAGCUGCGACAAAUGGUCGUCUUCCACACGGUUUGGCUUUGUAGAGCCCUUAAACUUUGAUGAUGGAGCAUCAUUGUCAUGCAUCACAAUUCACACAUGCUACUAUCUGUGCUCCCUGUCUGUUUCAGGGCUUGAUAGUUCUGCUCCUUGCUCGCAACUAACUGCAUGUAACAAAGACAAUGCUUAGAACUUGAAAGCGGCCGGCUGUUUUGUUUUUGCUCAGGCUGAUGUGGCGCCUGGGUGGGCCUCGUUGGGCCGGUCUGGGCCUGGCCGUAUUUUGGAGCCUGCCUGAUAUGCGUAAGCAAAUCCGCUCGUUGGAAAAAGUCUACCACGCGGACCCAAUCGACCGGCCACGUGUGCCCCUCCUUCGGCUCUGCGCACCCCGCCUCGCGCACACGCGAAUCCACCCACCCUCCGCCCCUCCUCUAUAAAGAUACCUCCACCAUGACCACCCCCUUCGUCUCCGUCUCUCUCCUCCGCCUCCGCUCCCCUUCUCUCCCCUCCCUCCUCGCCUUCGCUUGGGUCACCUUGGAUCCGAGCCCAAACCCUAACCCCCCAACGGUCCCCUCCAUCCCGACCCAACCAAACCCUAAACCCGCUGCCCCUCCUCGAUUUCCCGCCUAAUCCUGCCCCCACCAUCGCGCAUUCGCGUCGAAUUCGAACCUGGCAUUCGGAGCUCGAAUUUGAAUUCGAGCUCGAAUCACCACCCGCCUGGAGCGGGAGCGAGCUGCGGGAGCUCGAAUUCGAUGCGGUGCUGAGCGUGGGCCAAUCGAUUCGGGCCGGGCGGUGGCGCGGCCGGCGGGAUCUGAACCCUAGCGGCCGGCCGGAUCUGAGAGACCGCGCCGGCGAGGUGCUCGGCGGUAUGAGUGGUUGGGAAGGGCGCAGAGGAGAAGCGGAGAUAUGAGCGGAGGCGGUGGGAGCGGCACCGGGGACGAGUUCGGGCGGGCGGUCGCGCGGGCCGCGGUCGCGCAGGCGCUGGAGGCGGCCGGGUUCGACUGCGCGCACCGCUCGGCGGUGGACGCGGUCGUCGACGUCCUUCUGCGCUACAUCACCCACCUCGGCCGGUCCGCGGCCUUCAACGCCAACCUCGCCGGCCGCGCGCUCGCCAACGAACUCGACAUCAUCCAGGCGCUCGAGGAGGUUGGCGCCGACACGGACGGGUUCGCGGGCGCGUCCGCCACGGGCCGCUGCCUCGCUGGCUCCGGCGUCGUCAGGGACCUCAUGGCGUUCGUCGACACCAAGGCUGAGGUGCCGUUCGUGCGGCCGCUGCCCAGGUUCCCCGUGCCGCGCGUGCAGCAGCAGCCCUCCGCCAGCUUCGCGGUGGCUGGGAAGGAGACCGGGAUGAGGCACGUGCCUGAGUGGCUCCCGGUGUUCCCGGAUCCGCACACCUAUGUGAGGACGGAGGCGUGGGUUGAGCCGCCCGCGACCAAGGAAAGGGUGGACAAGGUGGAGCAGGUGCGGCAACGGAGGAAGGCUGAGAAGUCCCUGCUCAGCUUGCAGCAAAGGCUAGCACAGGCUGGUGCUGAAGGUUUUCAUCCAGCAGCUGCGCUUGCACAGGAUAGCACGGAGAAGGGUAAGGAGAUACAGGCAGCUGGGACCAAGAGAAAUCCAUUUCUUGAGCCAGCAUUGCCGCCUGGGGAGAAGGAUGUAUCUGAGGUUGACAUGCCUCCUGAAAAGAAGAAACUCUCUGUCCUUGAGGCAUUUGCGCCAGCUAUUCAAGCUACAACCAUCAGGGAGAUUGAUGCUGGGACAGGGUUGGAUCAAAACCAAAGGAGCAUUGUUCCAAAAGAGAGGGUGCCAGUACACCUCAAGAUUGGAUUUGGUAAUAAGCCAGUAUCAGCUGUUCUGAAUUCAAGAGCCUUGGACCUGAGGGAUGAUCCUUCCUUCUUGAAGGAGGAAGCAAAGGAUGACAAGAAGCGGAGAGCAGGCAUGAUAUUAAGAGCAUCAAUGGAGAACCCACAGGAACUUCCUCAACUCUGAAGUGGUUUAUGGAGGAACUGCGGUGCCCAGAAUGGAACUGCAUCAUGGUGUGAUUGGGUUUAUUGAAGCUGUGGAUAUUCCAGAUUUACGGUGGAACUUCAAUUUCCAGAAUCUUGAGGUACGUUGUAACAUGUAACUUGUUGCAAGUCAUUGGUCCUGGCUGUCAAUUGCUCUCGAGGUCCAUCAUUGAAUGCUAUUGGAUUCAUAUUGAUUUGUAAUCUUCAUUGUUAUAAAUUUGAGUGUAGGUAUCAGAAUGGCGAAACUUUAGCUAGGCAGUGCAUUGGUGUAUAUAUGUUUUUCUCAUAUAGGAAAAUGAUCCAGAGAUCUAUUAAAGCAUGUAUGCAUCAUUAAAAAUACACACUUUGGCUCUUGUAUGACCGAAAUCUUGGGAGUUCGUUGUGUUAAAGUUACCUUUCAGUAGGCUUGCUCUGCACAGUAACUUUAACAGUUGAAUUAUUAAAGUUUUGAGCUAUACUGAUAUGUGUUUUGGUGCCCUGAUGCUUUCCAUUUAGGAGAAAGUACAGAUUGUAUGGCAUGCACUCACCAUUCCAUAUAUGCAAUGGACAGUAAGGAUUAUAUGCUAAUCUUGUGCCAUGAUUUCUAGAUGAAAUUUAAUCUGUGUGUACACAAUAAGGGGACAAUGGUUAACUGACUAAUUUGAAAGUAGGCUAUCAAUAGAAAAAAGGAGUUAUGUUAGUUUGGAUGUAUCAGUAAUGAUGUUUUGAUGAAGUGGCCAUCAAGUCACUGUCCUGCACCCUCCAACCUAUUGCCUUAGAUGCUGCAGAUAUGGCAAUUCGACCAGAAUUUUUCAUGUAAAGUAGCACACAAAAGAGGAUAUUUCUUGCCUAUGUGUGUAACUAAUUUCUACUUCUGUUCCUGGCAUAUUGUUUUUUUAAAUAUAUUUCUAUUAUGUUCCCUCCACAUUAUCCAUUUUAGCCCUGUUUAGUGUUUACACUUGCAGCCAAGAAACUCAAAAGGGCAUUAAGGUUUGAUUUGGUGCUGUGGUAGAUAUCAUAAUUGGUGGAAAUAGCUUAGAGAUAUUUUAUUCUUUUGUUGGUGUUUUUUAAUUGAUAGCCUCCUUUCAACUAGUCAGUUAAGACAUGAAAGAGCAAUAUUCUUUAUUAUGUUUUAAUGCCUACUAAGUGGUUAGACAAUAGCUGUUAUUUUUGUGCUGCCAUUGGUAGUUAAUAUUUAGAUUGCCUUAAUGUGGUGUAUCACUUUCCAAUCAUUUAGUUACACUGUGGUAUGCACUUCCAUGUUCAUCCUUUCAUGUAUGUGAAUAUUACAAAUUUCCAUGAAAGCAAGGUAAUAUAGAUAAUAUGUUAUUAGUCCUUAAAGUGGAUCUCUGUGAAGUUCUUGUAUUGGUAACUGGCAACUAGGUGGGUGCACGGUCAAAGCAGAUAUAGUACACCUGGCCCAAUAUUCAAGUAGUUCUACACGCAGCAGUUAAAAAGGUCCAAAGCAGAGUAUUCACAUUCACAACAAAUAGUAAUAAUUAGCCAUGGUAAAUCAAUCCACCAUCCAACUUUCAUUACAUUUUUCAUGGGUUUGGAGAACAAAUAUUACACAGUACAGAAUGGAUCUGCAUUCUAGUAGGAACUGCGUAUUCCUUUAUGACAUCCUGCUUCGUAGCAUGGUGGUAAAUUAGCAUGUCAAAUAAAUUAUUAUUCUGACUUGAGCUUUGGUGAUUUCUGUAGGCCAUGUGUCCGUGAUACAACCUUCCUCCUAUCUGAACAACAUCAGAAUCAUUCUUAGAACCUUGCUAACCUGCACCCAUGCUUGCCCGCCUCAAGAUAUCAUUUUCCUGGAAUCACCAGGGCACUGGUAAUUCUGCAGCGCUGUAACUGAAGUUCCACCAUUUCACCCCAUUCAACUUGGUUCUGCUGGUAUUUCACCGCUAAGGCGUUAACUGUAAGUGAGCCGCUUCAUACGGAGCUGAUUUGGGAGGCUGUGUUUCCUCUCCCCAGACAUGGCAUCCAAAAGAAUGAAGCUCCCGAGUUUACUUUUUGUAGCUGUAUUCCCUGGUAGAAUUGGAGAGAGAUGUUUGUACAAAAGCUAACCUGAUUCUCCUGACCAAGACUCGUCUCAGACAGGAUUGAUGUACCUAGUGGGUUACUCUCGAGAGCCAGCUUCUUUAUGCAACAUGCUGGCCUAAUAGUGCAGUAAGGUCGCCUGCGAUUGGGAUGCUUUGCAAAGAUCUGAUGAUGGACUCAAUUCAUGAGGAUCAAUUGAAGAUCUGUCCUCAGUGAGUUCAUGAUCCUGAGAGAGAGCUGAUGUAGUGCUUUGCAGAGCGAUUAGUGCCCCUUUCUGGGACUGUAAUAACAAUGUGCAAUAUGAUUCUUUCGGCUUAUUUUUCCUGUCUAACCUGAGCUUCCCCGAUUGAACGUGUGAAGAUUUUAAAAGGCAUCAUGUUGGAUGGAGCUUGUGCAUUUUGUGAUUAGAGCCUGUGCAUGUCUGUGGCUGUUUGUGAAUGCUGUAAAAGGCAGUAUGCUUGAGCUCACUCCUCCGUAUACGCUGCUAGAAGGCGAUCUACUUUUACGGUUAAAAAGGCCCAAACUGGACAGGUGGCCCCGUUAUUCAUUACCGCGACAUAUCUCCAGCCCGUUUUCGUUUCAUCAUUUUUCUUUAACCACUUUGGGCUCUGGGUUCAUGGGAGAAUUCCCUUACUAGGCCGAAGCACAUUCGAGAAGCUGUUUAUUUUGGGGCCCCAAUAGGCCAAUAGGUUCCUUCUCCAUAACCGAGUUAAAACUUUGAUCAAUUUCAAAUUUUCAAUUGAGCUUUCGAAGAUGGACGCACGUUGCAAAGUGAUUUCAAAACACUGCAAUGCUGUACGUUUCAUGCACGUCAAUACCUUGUGCACUCAGCUAGUGCCCAGUAUUAGUACUCCUAAUUUUUCGUGGCUGUACGGAAUGGGACUGAAGAGCUAUGCAUGUAUACUGACGUACCGUGGAAUUUAUGCGCGCGAUUGGAGAUUGUGCACUCAGCAGCACAAAUCUGACACACGCAAGAUGUGGUGCCAAAGACACUGGCCUAACUGCUGGUACAUGAUUCCUUGAUCCUUGGCAGGCCAGGACAAGGCUAUGUCACAUGGCCAUAACUAGGAAUCACAAACAACCCCCUAAUUCAGCACAAGAUGAGCUCAAUCAUAGCACUCUGCAGUCUGCACGCUGCACAAGUGAAGCAGGCAUGACUGGCUGCAGCUGAUCACUCUGCAGUCUGCACAAGCCAAAGUUUAUGGUACCCUCGAAACCCUGCCUCGUCUAAUGUUUAUUCUUCUUUUUAUGAGAGUCAAAGUCAGAGACGUUGACAAGUCAACGGGAAUCUCCCUGCGUUUAGUAUGUUUUCCCGUUGCGUGCUACUGGACCGGCCGGGCCACCGGGGUGAUGCUUGUGCGUUGUCUUGUGUCAACCUCAUCCGAUUUUUGGAAGCAACCUCACCCGUUGUUUCACUUGUACCUAUGGCUCCAGCUCUAAGAAUUUACACAGCUAGAGAUGGCCGGCUUUAAGAAUUUCUAGAGCCGGAGAUUUUACCAAAUAUAUAUUCCCUAAGUUGUGUUCAUAUGCGCAAUGCACAAGUGACUGAGUGAGUGAGUGACUAAACGAGGCGUAGCGUAAUUUGCUGAUCAGAUAACUACGGUUACGGUAGUAUACUAUACAUAUAAACAGUACUAGUUUGAUACUCUGCAGCUUAUACUAUACUAGUAUUAUCCAACUUUGAACGACCAGAGCGGGUUUAUCGGCAAGGAUUACGUUGAAAAGGAGUUCAAUUCUCGCUACCAAUCGCAUCAUCAGACUCUAGACUCGACCUGAUGCAUAAUAAAAACCAUCAUCUCGUACGCACAGCACAAGUUCACCCGCCCCGGCCUUGCUACGUGUAUACGCACUCAUUCAGUUUAAAAUCUGCCAAAUCUGAAUUAAAGAAUGAGACGAAUAAGUCCCUGCAUGCAGCGCCGAAGGAUCCCCAGGGCACGCCGCAGGUCAAGAAAAAAAGAAGAAGAGGGAAACAAGAUCCACACAUGACUGAGUCAACGAUAAGACACCGUUGAAAGAAAUGAGCAGUACGGAUGAACACGAUCGAUCCAGGAGCUAGGAACAACAAAAAAGCAUGCAUCAUCAUUGGACACAUACGAAGUUCAUUCUUCAGUUCUGAAUAAUUCGGCCGAGUACAGCAACGACCGAUACUGCAGCGGCCACUGCUGCCGUGCCGACAUUCUUACGAGGCACGCGCCCGCGCUGGCCGCCAUGGCCAAUCAACUUGCGCUAGCCAUCGACCAGGACAACUAGGAGACGGUUUUGUUGACCGGCCAGGCAAGCCUCUCUCGCUGACUAGCUCAUCACAGCCAGCCAGCCACUCUUCAUCUUGGAGUCUUGUUGCAACUUGCAGCUAAAAGAGCCACAGGCAGGUGUGGGGUGUGGGAUCCAUGGCUGAACCAACCAUCACCAUGCAUUCCAUGUUUGCAUAAAUGGUGGGCCGGUUUUUUGUUCAAGGAAGGAAUGGAAGUGGAUCUCUCACUGUCGUACCACGCUUUACGUGUCCUCGUUUAGACCCGAUCUCUCUGUAUGUUAUCCUUAUACUGACCAUAACUUUUUUAUUGUAUCGUGUACAUAGUGCAUCAUAUGAUAAAGUUGAUUUUUUUUCCGCACGAGAAUAAGCAUUUGUUGCCACUUAAUGCCAAGGAAAUCUCCACGUAUGCAUGCCACGAGCUUUCAAGCGUUGUGUGAAGCCGUUUUUCUUAGAACAAAAAUAAAUAAACGGGGAAAAGAAGGCCGAAUACUCCUUUGAGACAUCUCAAUUUUCGUUGGUUUUCGGUUGCUUGACCAACAAACAUGUUUCGAUUCCGUUAUUUCAACUGCACCAAAUAAAAUGGUCUUUUGAAUUGGUCAAGCAGUUUCGUAAAUUUUUUAGUAGAAGACUACGUUGAACUGAAAAAGGUACACUUGCGAGUUGUCACUUCUUGCCUUAUACGACUAGUGAAAUAGUAAGCGCAAGGCCAUCAUCGGUUAUCCAAUACUUAAUGAGUGCUUUUCUUUUUUAAGAAAAGAUUCGUUAGCAUCUGAACCGCGUACAAAAAUGUGACUCGGUGGUCGGUAAGCAUGGGAAAACUCACCGAAUUGUUGCAGGUUGCAUUAUUGGCUUGAACUUUUCCAAUAACCUAUCUCUUUUCCGUUUAAUGUUUUCUGACUCUGGCGUCAACCAGGAUUGACGAUGGCAUCGCCACAAUAUGAGCUGCUAGCUGUUAAGUCAUUUCAACUUCCAAAAACAAAACAAGAAGAAGAAGAAAGAGGAAAAAGCAAAUUGAGCAACAUAUUUAACCACUAAUUUUUUCGGAUCAACAGGUAAGAGGAUAUUUAUUUGACCGUUAAUCAUGUGGUUAAACGUUGACCUGGUUCAAAAUUGUUUUUCUCUCCAAUGCGGCUUCACCAAAAUCUUUCGGCAACUUUUGGGAUCAGUUGGGCAUUUGCCAGUGCAACUGACUCAAUUAACAAAUAUUUAGUCCAUUAGCAACUUUUGGGAUCACAUUGUGCGUCUCCUUUACCAGAUUGCGUUGCAUGGAUGAGAUGUGACUCUCUUAACAACAAUGUAUUCAGAUGCUUGAUGUUAGUCCUGUACAACUUACUCCCUCGGUUUCAAAUAUUACAGGUCCUUUUGGCACUUCCAAAUAUAUAGUUUUUCUAUGUAGCUUGACAUACUGUAUAUCUAGGUGCAUAAUAAAAACUAUGAACCUAAAAAUUAAAACAACUAUAAUUUGGAACAGAAAGAGUAAUUGUGAUAGGUCCAACAGGUGGACAGAAUAUAUAGGUCUGCCCGGGACGCAUUAUUCUUGUAAUUGGAAAAAAAAGAUAGGCGUGGCCAGGAGAAGCGUUGCCAAAUAUCUCAAUCACAUUGAGAGUGAUAUAAGCCCCACAGAGCGUCUGUCAUCAGUGAAAGAGCACCAAUCACUCACUCACUCAUUCCCUUCUUAUCUACUGUGUUCAUCAGCUGAAGACUUUGAACAGUGAUCAAGAGCGAACCUUGGCAAUUCAACCAAGGAAGUAACCAUAUCAAAAACGAAAUAAUUGGAUCUUUCGCGGUUAAUGAACACACUUUAUCUUACAAACAAGAAAAAAAAA